AGUACGGCCGCAAGGUUAAAACUCAAAUGAAUUGACGGGGGCCCGCACAAGCGGUGGAGCAUGUGGUUUAAUUCGAUGCAACGCGAAGAACCUUACCUACUCUUGACAUCCAGAGAACUUAGCAGAGAUGCUUUGGUGCCUUCGGGAACUCUGAGACAGGUGCUGCAUGGCUGUCGUCAGCUCGUGUUGUGAAAUGUUGGGUUAAGUCCCGCAACGAGCGCAACCCUUAUCCUUUGUUGCCAGCGAUUCGGUCGGGAACUCAAAGGAGACUGCCAGUGAUAAACUGGAGGAAGGUGGGGAUGACGUCAAGUCAUCAUGGCCCUUACGAGUAGGGCUACACACGUGCUACAAUGGCAUAUACAAAGAGAAGCGACCUCGCGAGAGCAAGCGGACCUCAUAAAGUAUGUCGUAGUCCGGAUUGGAGUCUGCAACUCGACUCCAUGAAGUCGGAAUCGCUAGUAAUCGUGGAUCAGAAUGCCACGGUGAAUACGUUCCCGGGCCUUGUACACACCGCCCGUCACACCAUGGGAGUGGGUUGCAAAAGAAGUAGGUAGCUUAACCUUCGGGAGGGCGCUUACCACUUUGUGAUUCAUGACUGGGGUGAAGUCGUAACAAGGUAACCG
This 623-nucleotide ribosomal RNA is filed under the name uncultured bacterium. RNAcentral describes it as "bacterial SSU rRNA". It matches the Rfam family "Bacterial small subunit ribosomal RNA", at positions 879 to 1502 of the family's 1533-position model. The record is from RNAcentral.